UUAGUGGAAGCGUCUGGAAAGGCGCGCGAUACAGGGUGACAGCCCCGUACACAAAAGCGCAUGUGCUGUGAGCUCGAUGAGUAGGGCGGGACACGUGGUAUCCUGUCUGAAUAUGGGGGGACCAUCCUCCAAGGCUAAAUACUCCUGACUGACCGAUAGUGAACCAGUACCGUGAGGGAAAGGCGAAAAGAACCCCGGCGAGGGGAGUGAAAAAGAACCUGAAACCGUGUACGUACAAGCAGUGGGAGCCCCACCACCAAAGCAUUCUCUGGUGUUGAAGGCCCUGCAAAGCAGCAUCGCGGUGGCGGAGCGUCGUUUGCGACGCCCAACACACAAAACAAGCGGUGAGUGCUUUGGGGUGGGGUGACUGCGUACCUUUUGUAUAAUGGGUCAGCGACUUAUAUUCUGUAGCAAGGUUAACCGAAUAGGGGAGCCGGAGGGAAACCGAGUCUUAAYYGGGCGUUAAGUUGCAGGGUAUAGACCCGAAACCCGGUGAUCUAGCCAUGGGCAGGUUGAAGGUUGGGUAACACUAACUGGAGGACCGAACCGACUAAUGUUGAAAAAUUAGCGGAUGACCUGUGGCUGGGGGUGAAAGGCCAAUCAAACCGGGAGAUAGCUGGUUCUCCCCGAAAGCUAUUUAGGUAGCGCCUCGUGAAUUCAUCUCCGGGGGUAGAGCACUGUUUCGGCUAGGGGGCCAUCCCGGCUUACCAACCCGAUGCAAACUGCGAAUACCGGAGAAUGUUAUCACGGGAGACACACGGCGGGUGCUAACGUCCGUCGUGAAGAGGGAAACAACCCAGACCGCCAGCUAAGGUCCCAAAGUCAUGGUUAAGUGGGAAACGAUGUGGGAAGGCCCAGACAGCCAGGAUGUUGGCUUAGAAGCAGCCAUCAUUUAAAGAAAGCGUAAUAGCUCACUGGUCGAGUCGGCCUGCGCGGAAGAUGUAACGGGGCUAAACCAUGCACCGAAGCUGCGGCAGCGACAGGGUGAGUCGACCCCUAAGGCGAGGCCGAAAGGCGUAGUCGAUGGGAAACGGGUUAAUAUUCCCGUACUUGGUGUUACUGCGAAGGGGGGACGGAGAAGGCUAUGUUGGCCGGGCGACGGUUGUCCCGGUUUAAGCGUGUAGGUGUGUGUUCCAGGUAAAUCCGGUUCACUUUAACACUGAGGCGUGAUGACGAGGCACUACGGUGCUGAAGCAACAAAUGCCCUGCUUCCAGGAAAAGCCUCUAAGCAUCAGGUAACAUCAAAUCGUACCCCAAACCGACACAGGUGGUCAGGUAGAGAAUACCAAGGCGCUUGAGAGAACUCGGGUGAAGGAACUAGGCAAAAUGGUGCCGUAACUUCGGGAGAAGGCACGCUGACA
This 1361-nucleotide ribosomal RNA is filed under the name Salmonella enterica subsp. enterica serovar Infantis. Its description in RNAcentral is "partial 23S ribosomal RNA". Lineage: Bacteria; Pseudomonadati; Pseudomonadota; Gammaproteobacteria; Enterobacterales; Enterobacteriaceae. The record is from RNAcentral.